UAUGUAAUUGUGUGCCAGCAGCGGUAAUACGUAUGGUGCAAGCGUUAUCCGGAUUUACUGGGUGUAAAGGGUGAGUAGGCGGUCAUGCAAGUCAUAUGUGAAAUGUCAGGGCUUAACCUUGGCGCUGCAUAAGAAACUGUAUGACUAGAGUGCAGGAGAGGUAAGCGGAAUUCCUAGUGUAGCGGUGAAAUGCGUAGAUAUUAGGAAGAACACCGGUGGCGAAGGCGGCUUACUGGACUGUUACUGACGCUGAGUCACGAAAGCGUGGGGAGCAAACAGG
Molecule: ribosomal RNA, 280 nt
Filed under: [Clostridium] colinum
Lineage: Bacteria; Bacillati; Bacillota; Clostridia; Lachnospirales; Lachnospiraceae
Description: partial 16S ribosomal RNA
Rfam family: Bacterial small subunit ribosomal RNA
Source: RNAcentral